RNAcentral lists this ribosomal RNA (438 nucleotides) under uncultured bacterium. RNAcentral describes it as "bacterial SSU rRNA". It matches the Rfam family "Bacterial small subunit ribosomal RNA", at positions 329 to 770 of the family's 1533-position model. The record is from RNAcentral.
GCCCAGACUCCUACGGGAGGCAGCAGUGGGGAAUAUUGGACAAUGGGCGGAAGCCUGAUCCAGCAACGCCGCGUGAGGGAUGACGGCCUUCGGGUUGUAAACCUCUUUCAGCGGGGACGAAGCGCCGAUGAUGGUGGUGACGGUACCCGCAGAAGAAGCACCGGCCAACUACGUGCCAGCAGCCGCGGUAAUACGUAGGGUGCGAGCGUUGUCCGGAAUUAUUGGGCGUAAAGGGCUCGUAGGCGGUUUGUCGCGCCGGGAGUGAAAACACCGGGCUUAACUCGGUGCUUGCUUUCGAUACGGGCAGACUAGAGGUAUGCAGGGGAGAACGGAAUUCCUGGUGUAGCGGUGAAAUGCGCAGAUAUCAGGAGGAACAUCGGUGGCGAAGGCGGUUCUCUGGGCAUUACCUGACGCUGAGGAGCGAAAGUGUGGGGAGCG